Molecule: long non-coding RNA, 1027 nt
Filed under: Malus domestica (apple)
Lineage: Eukaryota; Viridiplantae; Streptophyta; Magnoliopsida; Rosales; Rosaceae
Description: long non-coding RNA (MDOM_LNC020680)
Source: RNAcentral
CUAGUAGAUUGGUGAACCUUGACUCAACUUAAAACAACAUUUGUUAGUUGAGAAAUUAUAUCUUUGUAGAUUCCUCUUUGCAUAAGCAAAGGCUAAUCACCCAAAGAGAGGGCUGAUAGGAGCAUAUUUAUGCGCCUUAGUUAGCUAGUUCUGAUGCAUCUUUGUUAUGUUUUCUUCGUUAAAGUAGUCUUUUAAGCUACUUUCAUGUGUUUUCAGGUUUAAAGGACAUGUUACAUGAAAUGAUGCAAUUUGGAGCUUUUGGAGCAAAAAGUGAGCUUGGAAUGAAAAGGACAUGCUUGGAACACAAGGUUGGGAUGAAAUUGAAGAGUUCGAGAUUUGAGGUUUCCUACUUGAAGUAGGAAAGCUAAGCCUAAAAGUUUCCAUUUUGGGUUGAUCUUUCCUAAAUCGGAAUUGGCAACCAAAGUUUCUAAAGUUGGAAGUUUCUAUUCUUGGAGGUUUCCAUUUUCGUGAGUUUCUAUUCUCGGCUUUGGGCUUUUAGAUGACUUAAACCCUAAUUCCUUGUGAACCCUAAGUCCAUGCCGCAUCCUAGGGCCUAAUCAUUCAAUUUCUGCCAUGUUAAACCCUAAUCCAUUUCUCCUAAGCCCAUGCCGCACCUAAUGUUCUAGAAACCCAAUUUUCUGGUGGAUUUCCAACCCUAGCCGCACCUAACCCUAGCCCAUUGUCUAAUCUGAUUUCUUUAGGGUUUAGGUGCCUAUAUAUAUGUGUUUUACAUCCUUUGGCCGAUCCUCUCCCAUUCUAAAAAUCAGAAAUUCAUCCAACCCUUAUUUCCCCACCUUGCCGCAGCCACCUUCAUCCAUUCCAGCCACUUCCCAACCUUGCCGCAGCCACCAUCCACCUCCAUACACCAUUCUACACUUCCCUCCACCACCCCCACACCUUGCCGCACCACCAUAUCAUCCUAACUCCAUUCUUGAACCAAAACCACAUCCAAAAACCCCCAAAACCAUCUCUGCCGCAGCAAGGAGAAGAGAAGAGGAGCUUGACGUGCAGAAAUUCAAAGUGGAAU